GAGUAAGAGGAAUUCCGGUUGAUUCAGCUUCUACGAGGAACCUAGUGAGUGAGAAUGGCUCAAUUUUUGGCUGAUCCAUAGAGAACAACACUAGCAAAUGAUCCACAUUAGCUACAGGAGGAUCCAAAAUCUCUGUCGUCCUCUGAAACACAUUCUCAAUAGCGCCGCGUCUAUCCACCCAAUCAAUAGAACCUACCAAAACCUUAUCCCCAACCAAAACUCUCCUCUUAAUCUUCUUCAA
Molecule: unclassified non-coding RNA, 241 nt
Filed under: Hevea brasiliensis (rubber tree)
Lineage: Eukaryota; Viridiplantae; Streptophyta; Magnoliopsida; Malpighiales; Euphorbiaceae
Source: RNAcentral